UCAGGCUCAGGACGAACGCUGGCGGCGUGCUUAACACAUGCAAGUCGAACGGAAAGGCCCUUCGGGGUACUCGAGUGGCGAACGGGUGAGUAACACGUGGGUGAUCUGCCCUGCACUUUGGGAUAAGCCUGGGAAACUGGGUCUAAUACCGAAUAUGACCGCGCACUUCCUGGUGUGUGGUGGAAAGCUUUUGCGGUGUGGGAUGGGCCCGCGGCCUAUCAGCUUGUUGGUGGGGUAAUGGCCUACCAAGGCGACGACGGGUAGCCGGCCUGAGAGGGUGACCGGCCACACUGGGACUGAGAUACGGCCCAGACUCCUACGGGAGGCAGCAGUGGGGAAUAUUGCACAAUGGGCGCAAGCCUGAUGCAGCGACGCCGCGUGAGGGAUGACGGCCUUCGGGUUGUAAACCUCUUUCAAUAGGGACGAAGCGCAAGUGACGGUACCUAUAGAAGAAGGACCGGCCAACUACGUGCCAGCAGCCGCGGUAAUACGUAGGGUCCGAGCGUUGUCCGGAAUUACUGGGCGUAAAGAGCUCGUAGGUGGUUUGUCGCGUUGUUCGUGAAAACUCACAGCUUAACUGUGGGCGUGCGGGCGAUACGGGCAGACUAGAGUACUGCAGGGGAGACUGGAAUUCCUGGUGUAGCGGUGGAAUGCGCAGAUAUCAGGAGGAACACCGGUGGCGAAGGCGGGUCUCUGGGCAGUAACUGACGCUGAGGAGCGAAAGCGUGGGGAGCGAACAGGAUUAGAUACCCUGGUAGUCCACGCCGUAAACGGUGGGUACUAGGUGUGGGUUUCCUUCCUUGGGAUCCGUGCCGUAGCUAACGCAUUAAGUACCCCGCCU
This 841-nucleotide ribosomal RNA is filed under the name Mycolicibacterium sp. Its description in RNAcentral is "bacterial SSU rRNA". It matches the Rfam family "Bacterial small subunit ribosomal RNA", at positions 18 to 874 of the family's 1533-position model. The record is from RNAcentral. Lineage: Bacteria; Bacillati; Actinomycetota; Actinomycetes; Mycobacteriales; Mycobacteriaceae.